RNAcentral lists this unclassified non-coding RNA (216 nucleotides) under Sergeia podlipaevii. Lineage: Eukaryota; Euglenozoa; Kinetoplastea; Trypanosomatida; Trypanosomatidae. The record is from RNAcentral.
UCCGUCCGAUUUGUGAAGUUAAGCAGCUACAGGCUCAGUUAGUACUGAGGUCAGUGAUGACUCGGGAACCCUGAGUGUCGUACCCCCAACCACUUUUUUUUUUUCUCGUUCAUCCGUCGAAAGCCUCUCGUCGUGUGCCAUGGGCUUCUCGCUGGCUGUUGAGUACGACCAUACUUGGCUGAAAACACCAUAUCCCGUCCGAUUUGUGAAGUUAAA